AGUGAACGCUGGCGGUAGGCCUAACACAUGCAAGUCGAACGGCAGCACAGUAAGAGCUUGCUCUUACGGGUGGCGAGUGGCGGACGGGUGAGGAAUACAUCGGAAUCUACUUUUUCGUGGGGGAUAACGUAGGGAAACUUACGCUAAUACCGCAUACGACCUACGGGUGAAAGCAGGGGAUCUUCGGACCUUGCGCGAUUGAAUGAGCCGAUGUCGGAUUAGCUAGUUGGCGGGGUAAAGGCCCACCAAGGCGACGAUCCGUAGCUGGUCUGAGAGGAUGGUCAGCCACACUGUAACUGAGACACGGUCCAGACUCCUACGGGAGGCAGCAGUGGGGAAUAUUGGACAAUGGGCGCAAGCCUGAUCCAGCCAUACCGCGUGGGUGAAGAAGGCCUUCGGGUUGUAAAGCCCUUUUGUUGGGAAAGAAAAGCAGCAGGUUAAUACCCCGCUGUUCUGACGGUACCCAAAGAAUAAGCACCGGCUAACUUCGUG
RNAcentral lists this ribosomal RNA (492 nucleotides) under uncultured bacterium. RNAcentral's name for it is "partial 16S ribosomal RNA". It matches the Rfam family "Bacterial small subunit ribosomal RNA", at positions 29 to 507 of the family's 1533-position model. The record is from RNAcentral.